Molecule: small nuclear RNA, 142 nt
Organism: Dendrobium catenatum
Lineage: Eukaryota; Viridiplantae; Streptophyta; Magnoliopsida; Asparagales; Orchidaceae
Product: U4 spliceosomal RNA
Exons: 1
Source: RefSeq, a predicted model, not a curated record
AACUUUGCGCUUGUGGUAAUGACACAGGCAAUGGGGUCUUAGCCGAGUCGCAUCUAUUGCUGGUUAAAAACUUUUUCCAAACCACCUCAAAGGCCUGGCCUCGCACCUGGCCUUAGAGAGUUUCUGGAAGGGGAGCCCUACU